Molecule: ribosomal RNA, 460 nt
Filed under: uncultured Bacteroides sp.
Lineage: Bacteria; Pseudomonadati; Bacteroidota; Bacteroidia; Bacteroidales; Bacteroidaceae
Description: bacterial SSU rRNA
Rfam family: Bacterial small subunit ribosomal RNA
Source: RNAcentral
CCUACGGGGGGCUGCAGUGAGGAAUAUUGGUCAAUGGGCGAUGGCCUGAACCAGCCAAGUAGCGUGAAGGAUGACUGCCCUAUGGGUUGUAAACUUCUUUUAUAAAGGAAUAAAGUCGGGUAUGCAUACCCGUUUGCAUGUACUUUAUGAAUAAGGAUCGGCUAACUCCGUGCCAGCAGCCGCGGUAAUACGGAGGAUCCGAGCGUUAUCCGGAUUUAUUGGGUUUAAAGGGAGCGUAGAUGGAUGUUUAAGUCAGUUGUGAAAGUUUGCGGCUCAACCGUAAAAUUGCAGUUGAUACUGGAUGUCUUGAGUGCAGUUGAGGCAGGCGGAAUUCGUGGUGUAGCGGUGAAAUGCUUAGAUAUCACGAAGAACUCCGAUUGCGAAGGCAGCCUGCUAAGCUGCAACUGACAUUGAGGCUCGAAAGUGUGGGUAUCAAACAGGAUUAGAUACCCGAGUAGUC